RNAcentral lists this ribosomal RNA (538 nucleotides) under Escherichia coli 90.0091. RNAcentral describes it as "bacterial LSU rRNA". It matches the Rfam family "Bacterial large subunit ribosomal RNA", at positions 1 to 580 of the family's 2925-position model. The record is from RNAcentral. RNAcentral also lists the same sequence under 29 other names. Lineage: Bacteria; Pseudomonadati; Pseudomonadota; Gammaproteobacteria; Enterobacterales; Enterobacteriaceae.
UUAAGCGACUAAGCGUACACGGUGGAUGCCCUGGCAGUCAGAGGCGAUGAAGGACGUGCUAAUCUGCGAUAAGCGUCGGUAAGGUGAUAUGAACCGUUAUAACCGGCGAUUUCCGAAUGGGGAAACCCAGUGUGUUUCGACACACUAUCAUUAACUGAAUCCAUAGGUUAAUGAGGCGAACCGGGGGAACUGAAACAUCUAAGUACCCCGAGGAAAAGAAAUCAACCGAGAUUCCCCCAGUAGCGGCGAGCGAACGGGGAGGAGCCCAGAGCCUGAAUCAGUGUGUGUGUUAGUGGAAGCGUCUGGAAAGGCGCGCGAUACAGGGUGACAGCCCCGUACACAAAAAUGCACAUGCUGUGAGCUCGAUGAGUAGGGCGGGACACGUGGUAUCCUGUCUGAAUAUGGGGGGACCAUCCUCCAAGGCUAAAUACUCCUGACUGACCGAUAGUGAACCAGUACCGUGAGGGAAAGGCGAAAAGAACCCCGGCGAGGGGAGUGAAAAAGAACCUGAAACCGUGUACGUACAAGCAGUGGGAGC